RNAcentral lists this ribosomal RNA (498 nucleotides) under uncultured bacterium. Its description in RNAcentral is "partial 16S ribosomal RNA". It matches the Rfam family "Bacterial small subunit ribosomal RNA", at positions 899 to 1397 of the family's 1533-position model. The record is from RNAcentral.
ACUCAAAUGAAUUGACGGGGGCCCGCACAAGCGGUGGAGCAUGUGGUUUAAUUCGAUGCAACGCGAAGAACCUUACCUACCCUUGACAUGUCAGGAAUCUGGGUUAAGAGCCCGGAGUGCCGAAAGGAACCUGAACACAGGUGCUGCAUGGCUGUCGUCAGCUCGUGUCGUGAGAUGUUGGGUUAAGUCCCGUAACGAGCGCAACCCCUAUGCUUCGUUGCCAUGCCGAAAGGCGGAACUCGAAGCAGACUGCCGGUGACAAACCGGAGGAAGGUGGGGAUGACGUCAAGUCAUCAUGGCCUUUAUGGGUAGGGCUACACACGUGCUACAAUGGGGCGUACAGAGGGAAGCCAACCCGCGAGGGGGAGCUAAUCCUUUAAAAUGUCUCGUAGUCCGGAUUGGAGUCUGCAACUCGACUCCAUGAAGUUGGAAUCGCUAGUAAUCGCGGAUCAGAAUGCCGCGGUGAAUACGUUCCCGGGCCUUGUACACACCGCCCGU